UAUAACCAAGUGCAGUGUGAAAUCCAA
Molecule: non-coding RNA, 27 nt
Filed under: Homo sapiens (human)
Lineage: Eukaryota; Metazoa; Chordata; Mammalia; Primates; Hominidae
Source: RNAcentral